AUGAGCUCCUAUGGUGAGGAUUCUGAUGGAGAGCCAGAGAGGAUGAAGAGCCAGUUUCUUAGAUUCAACAAUGACAGUGAAAUUCCAAACUUCCAGUUGUCAAUGGUCUUCAGAAGCAAGAACCAGCUAGUCAAAGCUUUGAAGAGAUAUGGGCUAGUGACAAAAAGAAGCAUUGUGUUCUAAAAGUCAGAGAUAAAUAGAGUUAGAGCCAAGUGUGGAUGGCCUGGAUGCCCUUGGAUGAUAUAUGCAGCAAAAACCAGUAGGACAAGCAGAUUCCAAGUGAUCACAUAUAAUGAUGAACAUCACUGUGCCCAAAACAGAGAGAAUAGGCUAGUGACUGCAAAGGUUAUUGCACAGAGGUAUGAGCACUUCAUUCUUGCAAAUCCAAUGUGA
Molecule: ribosomal RNA, 393 nt
Filed under: Triticum aestivum (bread wheat)
Lineage: Eukaryota; Viridiplantae; Streptophyta; Magnoliopsida; Poales; Poaceae
Description: partial small subunit ribosomal RNA
Source: RNAcentral